This 104-nucleotide non-coding RNA is filed under the name Ochromonas sp. CCMP1393. Lineage: Eukaryota; Chrysophyceae; Chromulinales; Chromulinaceae. The record is from RNAcentral.
CAAAACAAAUUCAAAACGUACAAUCCAACCUCUUGGAAGCGGGAAAUAAUAAUGAAGAAAGAAAAAGGAAUGAAUAAGGAUACAUUUGUGCAGUUUUAUCGGUU